GAUGAACGCUGGCGGCGUGCUUAACACAUGCAAGUCGAACGGGAAACCUUUUAUUGAAGCUUCUGCAGAUUUAGCUGGUUUCUAGUGGCGGACGGGUGAGUAACGCCUGGUUAACCUGCCUUAUACAGGGGGAUAACAACACGAAAAGAUUGCUAAUACCGCAUAAGCGCAAAGGACCGCACGGUCCGGCGUGAAAAACUCCGGUGGUAUAAGAGGGAUCCGCGUGGGAUUAGCUAGUUGGCAGGGUAACGGCCUAACAAGGCGACGAUCGAUAGCCUGCCUGAGAGGGUGGACGGCCACAUUGGGACUGAGACACGGCCCGGACUCCUACGGGAGGCAGCAGUGGGGAAUAUUGCACAAUGGGGUAAACCCUGAUGCAGCUCCGCCGCGUGAAGGAAGAAGUAUCUCGGUAAGUAAACUUCUAUCAGCAGGGAAGAUAGUGACGGUACCUGACUAAGAAGCCCCGGCUAACUACGUG
This 478-nucleotide ribosomal RNA is filed under the name uncultured bacterium. Its description in RNAcentral is "partial 16S ribosomal RNA". It matches the Rfam family "Bacterial small subunit ribosomal RNA", at positions 28 to 507 of the family's 1533-position model. The record is from RNAcentral.